Molecule: ribosomal RNA, 301 nt
Filed under: uncultured bacterium
Lineage: Bacteria
Description: partial 16S ribosomal RNA
Rfam family: Bacterial small subunit ribosomal RNA
Source: RNAcentral
CAGUAGCCGCGGUAAUACGAAGGGGGCUAGCGUUGCUCGGAAUGACUGGGCGUAAAGGGCGCGUAGGCGGUGGCCAAAGUCAGGCGUGAAAUUCCCGGGCUCAACCUGGGGGCUGCGCUUGAUACUUGGUUGCUUGAGUGGGGAAGAGGGUCGUGGAAUUCCCAGUGUAGAGGUGAAAUUCGUAGAUAUUCGGAAGAACACCAGUGGCGAAGGCGGCUCACUGGACGCAUAUUGACGCUGGGGUGCGAAAGCGUGGGGAGCAAACAGGAUUAGAUACCCGCGUAGUCCCUGUCUCUUAUAC